GCGAAAGCAGACCAAACUGUUUAAGGAAGAAUCUCUUCACUAGAGCAAGGUAUUUCCUACUCCUCUGUUUAAAGAAGAAACCCAUCACCAGAUCAAGUAUGACGUACCCUGUGAAGUUUGUAUUGCUGGUGCUAGUCUUGGCCACUGUGUGUGGUCACGUGGUAUCCAACAUACACACGCGGGCAUCAAAUAGACAUUCCCAGUCUGGAGCUCCACGCGGUUGGCGAACCGUGAGAAUACGUUUUGAAGGUGGACAGCCACUGGAGGGGUAACGGCCCAUUAUAAUUCGUUUAGAGGUUUACGUUGUAAGAGUGGUUUUCAGACUGUUGAGUGUUUUAUUAUGGAAUAAACUGUGAUACGUCCGUAUGUGCGCCACAUAGUAUGCCAUUCACUUGUCGUUUUUG
Molecule: long non-coding RNA, 404 nt
Organism: Gigantopelta aegis
Lineage: Eukaryota; Metazoa; Mollusca; Gastropoda; Neomphalida; Peltospiridae
Exons: 4
Source: RefSeq, a predicted model, not a curated record